Molecule: ribosomal RNA, 245 nt
Filed under: uncultured bacterium
Lineage: Bacteria
Description: partial 16S ribosomal RNA
Rfam family: Bacterial small subunit ribosomal RNA
Source: RNAcentral
UACGUAGGAUCCGAGCGUUGUCCGGAUUUAUUGGGUGUAAAGGGAGCGCAGGCGGGACUAUAAGUCGAGGGUGAAAUCUUACAGCUUAACUGUAAAACUGCCUUUGAUACUGUAGUUCUUGAGUGUAGGAAAGGGCGAUGGAAUUCAUGGUGUAGCGGUGAAAUGCGUAGAUAUCAUGAAGAACACCAGUUGCGAAGGCGGUCGCCUAGCCUAUUACUGACGCUCAUGCUCGAAAGUGUGGGGAG